This 68-nucleotide transfer RNA is filed under the name Agramma hupehanum. RNAcentral's name for it is "tRNA-Gln". The record is from RNAcentral. Lineage: Eukaryota; Metazoa; Arthropoda; Insecta; Hemiptera; Tingidae.
UAUACUUUAGUGUAUGUUGCACUUGAAAUUUUGAAUUUCACAGAUUAGUUAAAUUCUAAGUAGUAUAA